GUAUGUGUGUGUGUGUGUGUGUGUCUCUGUAUGUAUGUGUCUGUAUGAUACAGACACAUACAUACAGAGACACACACAUACAGACAC
Non-coding RNA from Pelobates cultripes (western spadefoot toad), 87 nucleotides. NCBI's taxonomy places the organism in Eukaryota, Metazoa, Chordata, Amphibia, Anura, Pelobatidae. The record is from the annotation of a GenBank genome assembly.